GAUGAACGCUGGCGGCGUGCCUAAUACAUGCAAGUCGAGCGAAUGGAUUAAGAGCUUGCUCUUAUGAAGCUAGCGGCGGACGGGUGAGUAACACGUGGGUAACCUGCCCAUAAGACUGGGAUAACUCCGGGAAACCGGGGCUAAUACCGGAUAACAUUUUGAACCGCAUGGUUCGAAAUUGAAAGGCGGCUUCGGCUGUCACUUAUGGGUGGACCCGCGUCGCAUUAGCUAGUUGGUGAGGUAACGGCUCACCAAGGCAACGAUGCGUAGCCGACCUGAGAGGGUGAGCGGCCACACUGGGACUGAGACACGGCCCAGACUCCUACGGGAGGCAGCAGUAGGGAAUCUUCCGCAAUGGACGAAAGUCUGACGGAGCAACGCCGCGUGAGUGAUGAAGGCUUUCGGGUCGUAAAACUCUGUUGUUAGGGAAGAACAAGUGCUAGUUGAAUAAGCUGGCACCUUGACGGUACCUAACCAGAAAGCCACGGCUAACUACGUGCCAGCAGCCGCCGUAG
This 515-nucleotide ribosomal RNA is filed under the name uncultured bacterium. RNAcentral describes it as "partial 16S ribosomal RNA". It matches the Rfam family "Bacterial small subunit ribosomal RNA", at positions 28 to 523 of the family's 1533-position model. The record is from RNAcentral.